RNAcentral lists this transfer RNA (72 nucleotides) under Camelus bactrianus (Bactrian camel). It matches the Rfam family "tRNA". From Rfam's summary of the family: Transfer RNA (tRNA) molecules are approximately 80 nucleotides in length. Lineage: Eukaryota; Metazoa; Chordata; Mammalia; Artiodactyla; Camelidae. The record is from Rfam by way of RNAcentral. RNAcentral also lists the same sequence under 2 other names.
GAGGGUAUAGCUCAGGGGUAGAGCACAUGCUUAGCAUGCACCAGGUCCUGGGUUCAAUCCUCAGUACCUCCA